UACGUAGGGUGCAGGCGUUACUCGGAAUUACUGGGCGUAAAGCGUGCGCAGGCGGUUUGCUAAGACCGGUGUGAAAUCCCCGGGCUUAACCUGGGAACUGCGCUUGUUACUGGCAAGCUGGAGUGUGGCAGAGGGGGGUGGAAUUCCACGUGUAGCAGUGAAAUGCGCAGAUAUCAGGAGGAACACCAAUGGCGAAGGCAGCUCGCUGGAACGGUACUGACGCUGAGGCGCGAAAGCCAGGGGAGCAAACGGG
RNAcentral lists this ribosomal RNA (253 nucleotides) under uncultured bacterium. RNAcentral's name for it is "partial 16S ribosomal RNA". It matches the Rfam family "Bacterial small subunit ribosomal RNA", at positions 524 to 776 of the family's 1533-position model. The record is from RNAcentral.